AACAGAAAGGUAAAAAGUGUUUAAAGUUGAAAAGUGUUUUGGGAAAAAAAAGUGACAUGACUGCUUUCACAUAAAGCUAAAUAUUUAAUUCAGUACCAGUGUUAGAUCAUAGUGAAGAUGUGCCUGAGGGUGGAACAUACGAUACCUGCAGCAAAGGGAUGAAUUAUUGCUAAUGGUUACGGGGGGGGGGAGGAAUAGAGAAUUAAGCAUGGAGCAUGCACAUAAAUAAUGCAUAUACAAUACUAUACUAAAUAAAGUCAGAUGUUUUAAAAGACCUGCUUUUGUUUACCGCUUUAUUCCUCUAAGGGAUAAACAUUGAGUAAUAGAAUAGCUCACUGACUAUUUUCUGGCACCGAUAACAAUCAUUUUGUUAAAAGCCUGAUGUUAUUCUCUAACCUCUGGUGUUUUAUUGUAGCAUGCCCCUGAGUCCUCACAGGCAACUGUUAAAUAGUAUUUUAGUUAAAUAGUAGCUAUGUUUGAAAAAAAAAAAAAAGACAUAAGUCAUUGAGAAUAUUAUGACUAAAAGGGGCAAUGGCGGGCUUCCGUUCAUUUUGCGGUUCAACCAAAUAUUAUUUACACUUGGCUACACAUUUAUUACACGUUUAAUUUUUUUUUUUUUCACAAAUGUUUUUAUUUGUUUUCAAUAUACACAAAGAAAUUUUACAAUAAACAAAAAGGAAAGAAAAAGGAAUUGAAGAUAAGGUAAACAAACAAUGUCAAGUACAGAUUCAAAUAUAAUAAAGCAGGGUUGACAAAAAUAAUACACCUUUAAUUUUACAAUGUGGUGUUAAAGUUGUGCUAACCGGCUUCAGCUCAAUAGCAAUGCAUAUUGCCCAGCAUUGUUUAUUAUGCUUGGUGAGUAAUAAAGGAUGAAACAUUAUUGAGGUUCAGAUGGUAGACUUGGGGUUAAAACUGUCACUUGCCCUCUCAUUGAUAAAUGUAGGCAUGGAAAAAAAACUGUAUUUUUUUAAAUAUUUUUUAAAUGGCCACUAUACCUUUCGACCUGAGAAAGCCAGUGCUAGCAUAUGUUGAUGGUAUGCCAUUGUAAAUUCUAUGGAUCACCUACAUCUCCUCCUGUGGAUGGAGACAAGAGGGCUUGUGGCCAGUCCGUUCAGAAGAAAGGUGUUACUUAUACAAGUGUUAAACUGCAAGUGGAAUCAGUAAUACAGUGCUAGAGGUAAAGUAAAUAUACAACAUCCUCUUAAUCCACUUCAAUACUUAAAAAUAGUCACCCUUUCUGAGUCACCUGGCAGGCAAUUUGGGGUCAUUAAGAAUGAUUCCCCCCAUUUAUGGAUGAAUUGGCAGCUGGCCUACUGGAGGUUCUGUGUGCCUUCCACUGGGCCAUUAUGUAAAUAGAGACUGCCAUUGCUGCAAAUGACAUGAUAGAAGGAAAUUAUUUUAUGGCUUAGUUAUUUGCCAGAAAAAUUGUACUUUUAUUCCACAUACAGUUAAAAAUAUGCCCAUUUUUUCUGUUUUCUCCAACACUUUUUCCCUCUUUCAGUUCCGGAGAGAUAUUAUAAAAGCUGCCCGGUCGUGUUCAUUUCCAUUCCACCCUUUGACAACUACCUUGUCUUUGUCCUGAUGUAUUUCUUUCCUCGGCAGCUGUUAAUUCGGUACUUCUGGACCCCAAAGCAGCAGGAAGAAUUCAUGGAUAUUUAUCACAGAAUGAGAGUUGAGGCGUACCCCGAAAUCUUGGAAGGCUUGUUAAAAGCAAUUCCUAAAUUAUCUGAAAGGAAUCUCCGCAAUCCGAUGUUCCAGCUGUGCACACAGAAAGCACUUUGCCGCGUCAUGUUCCUCACUCCCCACCUCCCAGCUUUCCUGCUGCAGCGGCGCCUUGGGAGCCAUAUAUGUGAGAUACAAAAUCUUGACUGUGCUCUUCUCAAGCUUGGUGUGAAUAAACUCUCAGAGGAAGAACUAAAGCAGGCUUGUUAUAUCCGAGGGAUAAAUUCUACUCAUCUUAGUAUGGAAGACUGCAACUGCAAGACAUGGUUAAAUUACUGGCUCAAGGCUCCAGCUAUCUAGCAGGUUAAAAGUGUCUGAGGCAUCGUUAUUACUGCAUAGUAUGGUCUUCUUAUCUGCCAACUACGUCCAGUCCUUAAAACAGUGAUCGAGGACUAUAUCGGGACUGCAUUUAUCAUGCACAAUUGUGGCCUUCAGAUAUCCCAACUCAUAGUAAGUCCAUUAUGAUGCUGGAAACAGCCAGGUUGGAAUAUUAUGUUUCUCAUAUUGUUUUAUGGUUGCUUAAAGGCAACCUUACACUAAAGACCUGACCUAGAUGUUCCUGUUCACUGAAGCAGAGAGAAAAGCACCCUAGAAGCAAGAGAGACCAAACAAUCAAGAGUUUUGUUGUUGUUAAAAUUCCACAGGAGUCACCAGAUAUUACCUUCGCAUUUUCAGUGGUAUGAAUAUGGCAGCUGCAGCAGCGCAUAGUAAUAUUUAUCCCACCCAAGGGAAAUUGCUGAGGAUAUUAUGUGUGAAUGAGGCAAGAGAAUAUUUUUGCAUUAAGCUAGCAGUGCAUGCAAUCCGGCCAUAUGCACAGAGCUCUGUAAUAAGGCCAUUUGCUUGACAGAGUAAAAAUAUUCCCACUAUAAAUAGUGAAAGUGCUGCUGAAAUUCUGUAUGGAAUCUGUAGCCAAAUGGCUGUGCGUGUGUUACUGAAGGCAGCGGGUAAAGAAUAUCAUAUAGAGAAUAUGGAUUGUGCUUUGGGCUACGCAGGAACUACUUUUGUUUUCCUAUUUUUAGUUGUUUUUUUUAUAUGGAAUGUUUCUUUGGCAAUGCAUGGUUGUGUAUGCUUUAUUGGUGGAAAAGCUGUUUAUUGUUUACAAAAUGGUAUUUACUUUUGUUUGUUUUUUGUAAACUCAACUGUGUAUUUUUUUUUAAUGACCACAAUUCCCUGAAUCUUGUUCUCAUUCUGUACUGAUCAUGCUUAUAAUCUGGAACACCUUCCAACUGUAAAUAUGAUAAGGAACUUUAGUAGAGUCAUGGCAGCAAUAUUCUUUCCAAGUACUUUUCUUUUAUUUGUGAAUUGCCAAUCUUAUGCAGUACAUCAUGGCUGACUCCCUUCUGUGCUGUGUGGUCGGUGAUCAGAGCAUACACUGUAUGAUAACUCAGCAAAACCUCACAUACAUAUUGGCCUAAAAUGGGGAACACAGUAAAGGGAUAAUAAUAGGGGCAAAAUAUAUGUUUAUUAGAAAUUUUCAAUGGUCUGUUAUUUGUACUGUAUGUAUUGCUAUUGAAAGCAGUGUCUGUCCCUUUCUAGUCUCUGCCAUGGUCUAUGACCACCUUAAAGGAGAAUU
Molecule: RNA transcript, 3295 nt
Organism: Xenopus laevis (African clawed frog)
Lineage: Eukaryota; Metazoa; Chordata; Amphibia; Anura; Pipidae
Gene: letmd1.S
Gene name: LETM1 domain containing 1 S homeolog
Exons: 5
Source: RefSeq, a predicted model, not a curated record